AGCAGCCGCGGUAAUUCCAGCUCCAAUAGCGUAUAUUAAAGUUGUUGCAGUUAAAAAGCUCGUAGUUGAAUUUCGGGAUCAAUAUAUCGGUCGUGCCUUUGGUACGUACUGGUAUCAUUGAUUUCUCCCUUCUGACGAAUCAUGAUGUCAUUAAUUUGGUGUUAUGAGGAGUUAGGACUGUUACUUUGAAAAAAAUUGAGUGUUUAAAGCAGGCUCACGCUUGAAUACAUUAGCAUGGAAUAAUGAAAUAGGACGUUCGAUCCUAUUUUGUGGUUUUUAGGAUCAACGUAAUGAUUAAUAGGGAUAGUUGGGGGCAUUAGUAUUCAAUUGUCAGAGGUGAAAUUCUUGGAUUUAUUGAAGACUAACUACUGCGAAAGCAUUUGCCAAGGAUGUUUUCAUUAAUCAAGAACGAAAGUUAGGGGAUCGAAGACGAUCAGAUCCGUCGUAGUCUUAACCAUAAACUAUGACCGACUAGGGAUCGGAUGAUGUUAAUUUUUAANGUACU
Molecule: ribosomal RNA, 505 nt
Filed under: uncultured Glomus
Lineage: Eukaryota; Fungi; Glomeromycota; Glomeromycetes; Glomerales; Glomeraceae
Description: SSU rRNA
Rfam family: Eukaryotic small subunit ribosomal RNA
Source: RNAcentral